RNAcentral lists this ribosomal RNA (170 nucleotides) under uncultured Alphaproteobacteria bacterium. Its description in RNAcentral is "partial 16S ribosomal RNA". It matches the Rfam family "Bacterial small subunit ribosomal RNA", at positions 338 to 525 of the family's 1533-position model. Lineage: Bacteria; Pseudomonadati; Pseudomonadota; Alphaproteobacteria. The record is from RNAcentral.
CCUACGGGAGGCAGCAGUGGGGAAUCUUAGACAAUGGGGGCAACCCUGAUCUAGCCAUGCCGCGUGAGUGAUGAAGGCCCUAGGGUCGUAAAGCUCUUUCGCCUGUGAAGAUAAUGACGGUAGCAGGUAAAGAAACCCCGGCUAACUCCGUGCCAGCAGCCGCGGUAAUA